Molecule: long non-coding RNA, 1500 nt
Organism: Scylla paramamosain (green mud crab)
Lineage: Eukaryota; Metazoa; Arthropoda; Malacostraca; Decapoda; Portunidae
Exons: 2
Source: RefSeq, a predicted model, not a curated record
UAGAAAAAAUUAUUGCUAAGAAUAACAGCUACAACAAUAACAGUAAAAAAGAAAAAAAAAAAAAUGCAGCCAUGAAUAGCCCAGCCUCUUUUAAUUCCUUUUCAUAUUUCACGUGACACUCGCAUUUCCUUAACUCAGUUUCCAAGGCAGGCGAAUUAACAGCAAUCACUGCCUACAAAUUACAGGCGAGGGGACACAUUAAUCACCUUGUUCAGUGCAUACGAGUAAUUUUACAAUAACGUUAAAGUUCGUCAUGAAUUUUCUCCCCCUCCUCUCUUUGGCCACGCGUUGAGCAAGGAGUAGGGACGAGGCUUGGAGGCAAAGAAACUUAAGCCUGCUGUACUGGACUCACCCUGCGUGACUAGAAUGAUAAAAGAAAACGAAUUAUGUUAUACUACCCGCAUAAAUCAAGAUUUCUACUAUUACUAUCCUCACAGCGUCCUGGCAGAAAAUCAGGAGCUCGAGAAAUAAACCGAAGUACAGGAUUAAAAGUACAGGCAAGGUAGAACAAACGUAGACGUGGGGAGGUUCACUGACCCGCCCUGACCUGCUGGUGAGUGUGAGGGGCUCCGCGGGGGAAGGUUCUGGCUGAGCGGGCAAAGCAAAUUGGCGCAUAAACCAACAUAAACCACAUCUGACAGAUAAGAGUUUCUCAUUACGGGCGGUAAGUGACAGGCAUGAGUUCCGUUUUGGCACGGUUGGGGCUCUUCCCUCCCCACUCGCGGGCAGCCUCCUCCCCGUCUGUCCGUUACGUCGUGCGUCUGGCAGCGUCAAUACGCACAUCGGAGCAGCAGCUGGGUGUCGGCGGGCCACAGGUGCUAUCAGCAGCUUGAUAUUCGUUGCACGACAUGACACACACACACACACCAUAACAGGGUAACGAACCAGUAUUAAACACGAGUGGCCUAAAUUAAGUGAGUGAUCUAGGUUUCCUUAUAGCAGGGAUGACAAGUUAUGAUGACACAGCAGUACACUCUCGUGUCAAAAUCAACCCGGAAGAAUAAGAAGGAAUCAGCCUCGCCUGCAAGGAAGGACCACGUGAUACAGAUGACUUGAGAACGUUCCCUGCAGCGCUCUCCUCCUCCUCCUCCUCCUCCUCCUCUUCCUUUUCCAGACAUCAAAUCCACUUCUGCUUCGUGACGCUUAAGGAGUGUGUCAUCGCCGCCGCUGCCGCCGCUCCCACGUGAGAGCUUAGCGGCACAACCCACCACGUGAGACGACCUCUGCGUAACAUUUCACGUGAUUACUAAAGGAAAUACACACCCGGGAGCUUGCAGACUAAAGGGGAAGACACAACUAUGACGAAAACACAGGCACAACGGAACGUAAACGAUAAAAUACCAACAGACGUACACUGAAGAAGGAUGUGAAAAUUAUGAUCAAAUUUUGAUCUAGGGGGAAAAAUGUAGAGAACGAAAGGGAAAAUAGAGUACGAAAGUGUAAGUGAUUUGCGGAUUGUAUAAGAGGAAUACACUGUUCAAAUAAAUCUAUUGAAUUUAA